CCUACGGGUGGCAGCAGUAGGGAAUAUUGCUCAAUGGGGGAAACCCUGAAGCAGCAACGCCGCGUGGGGGAUGAAGGAUUUAGGAUCGUAAACUCCUUUUGUUAGAGAAGAUUAUGACGGUAUCUAACGAAUAAGCACCGGCUAACUACGUGCCAGCAGCCGCGGUAAUACGGAGGGGGCAAGCGUUACCCGGAUUCACUGGGCGUAAAGAGUGCGUAGGCGGGGGAAUAAGUCAGAUGUGAAAUGCUGUAGCUUAACUACAGAACUGCAUUGGAAACUGUGACGCUGGAGUGUGGGAGAGGUAAGUGGAAUUCUUGGUGUAGGGGUAAAAUCCGUAGAGAUCAAGAGGAACACU
Molecule: ribosomal RNA, 355 nt
Filed under: uncultured bacterium
Lineage: Bacteria
Description: partial 16S ribosomal RNA
Rfam family: Bacterial small subunit ribosomal RNA
Source: RNAcentral